Molecule: ribosomal RNA, 327 nt
Filed under: uncultured bacterium
Lineage: Bacteria
Description: bacterial SSU rRNA
Rfam family: Bacterial small subunit ribosomal RNA
Source: RNAcentral
UCAGGCCUAACACAUGCAAGUCGAGCGGGGUUUUCGGACCUAGCGGCGGACGGGUGAGUAAUGCGUAGGAAGCUACCCGAUAGAGGGGGAUACCAGUUGGAAACGACUGUUAAUACCGCAUAAUGUCUACGGACCAAAGUGUGGGACCUUCGGGCCACAUGCUAUCGGAUGCGCCUACGUGGGAUUAGCUAGUUGGUGAGGUAAUGGCUCACCAAGGCGACGAUCUCUAGCUGGUUUGAGAGGAUGAUCAGCCACACUGGAGGUGAGACACGGUCCAGACUCCUACGGGAGGCAGCAGUGGGGAAUAUUGGACAAUGGGCGCAAGCC